Non-coding RNA from Scatophagus argus, 670 nucleotides. Lineage: Eukaryota; Metazoa; Chordata; Actinopteri; Scatophagidae. The record is from the annotation of a RefSeq genome assembly.
CUGAACUUUACAAAAACUCUUCACCAUCUUUUAUCAGGGUUUGAACCAACUGCUCUCAGACACCUGCAGUGAUGGCUGACAUGAUGCUUCUCAUAAGAUGGAAAGCCACCACCCACCCUUAAAGCUUGUGUUUGUUCUCCUGAUGGGAGGGUUGGCUCAGAACAUGAGGUGGAAACAAGCAGCACAGACUGAAAACUCAGAGCCAGUAACUGGACUGAUCAAAAGUUCAGUCAGAAAACACAGCAUCAUGAUCAUUUUCAUCUGUCUGACCCUGAAUGUUGUUCUGGUUUCAGGUUCAUCCCUCAGCGACAAAGUCCUCCAGACUCCAGCUGACCUCUUCAGCAAGCAGGGAGAAGCAGCCAAGAUAAACUGUUCACACAGGAUUCAGGACUAUGAUCGUAUCUUCUGGUACAAGCAGUCAAAGAGCAGAGAGAUGCAGCUCCUGGGAUACAUGAAUGUAAAUGAUGGACAUCCUGAAGCUGGACUGAGUGUGAAGAUGGAAGGGGCCGCGACGAAAGACAAGACCUGCACUUUGACCAUUGACGGACUCGACGUGAGCAGCAGUGCGCUUUACUUCUGUGCUGCUAGUCGACACGGUGCUACAUAUCAGCGCUCCUCAGUACAAAAAGCUCUCGGUGUGUCAGCUCACAGCCCCUCACAGCUGGAUUAA